UACGUAGGGUGCGAGCGUUGUCCGGAAUUAUUGGGCGUAAAGAGCUCGUAGGCGGUCUGUCGCGUCUGCUGUGAAAACCCGAGGCUCAACCUCGGGCCUGCAGUGGGUACGGGCAGACUAGAGUGCGGUAGGGGAGAAUGGAACUCCUGGUGUAGCGGUGGAAUGCGCAGAUAUCAGGAGGAACACCGGUGGCGAAGGCGGUUCUCUGGGCCUGUACUGACGCUGAGGAGCGAAAGCGUGGGGAGCGAACAGG
Molecule: ribosomal RNA, 253 nt
Filed under: uncultured bacterium
Lineage: Bacteria
Description: partial 16S ribosomal RNA
Rfam family: Bacterial small subunit ribosomal RNA
Source: RNAcentral